UGAGGAAUAUUGGUCAAUGGGCGAGAGCCUGAACCAGCCAAGUAGCGUGCAGGAUGACGGCCCUAUGGGUUGUAAACUGCUUUUAUGUGGGGAUAAAGUGCGUGACGUGUCAUGCAUUGCAGGUACCACAUGAAUAAGGACCGGCUAAUUCCGUGCCAGCAGCCGCGGUAAUACGGAAGGUCCGGGCGUUAUCCGGGUUUAUUGGGUUUAAAGGGAGCGUAGGCUGUCUAUUAAGCGUGUUGUGAAAUUUACCGGCUCAACCGGUGGCUUGCAGCGCGAACUGGUCGACUUGAGUAUGCAGGAAGUAGGCGGAAUUCAUGGUGUAGCGGUGAAAUGCUUAGAUAUCAUGACGAACUCCGAUUGCGCAGGCAGCUUACUGUAGCAUAACUGACGCUGAUGCUCGAAAGUGCGGGUAUCAAACAGG
Molecule: ribosomal RNA, 424 nt
Filed under: Fusobacteriota bacterium
Lineage: Bacteria; Fusobacteriati; Fusobacteriota
Description: Fusobacteria bacterium partial 16S ribosomal RNA
Rfam family: Bacterial small subunit ribosomal RNA
Source: RNAcentral